RNAcentral lists this ribosomal RNA (253 nucleotides) under uncultured bacterium. Its description in RNAcentral is "partial 16S ribosomal RNA". It matches the Rfam family "Bacterial small subunit ribosomal RNA", at positions 524 to 776 of the family's 1533-position model. The record is from RNAcentral.
UACGAAGGGGGCUAGCGUUGUUCGGAAUCACUGGGCGUAAAGGGCGCGUAGGCGGCCGAUUAAGUCGGGGGUGAAAGCCUGUGGCUCAACCACAGAAUUGCCUUCGAUACUGAUUGGCUUGAGACCGGAAGAGGUCAGUGGAACUGCGAGUGUAGAGGUGAAAUUCGUAGAUAUUCGCAAGAACACCGGGGGCGAAGGCGGCUCGCUGGGCAUGGUCCGACGCUGAGGCGCGAAAGCGUGGGGAGCGAACAGG